UGACGGUACCUGACUAAGAAGCACCGGCUAAAUACGUGCCAGCAGCCGCGGUAAUACGUAUGGUGCAAGCGUUAUCCGGAUUUACUGGGUGUAAAGGGAGCGCAGGCGGUACGGCAAGUCUGAUGUGAAAGCCCGGGGCUCAACCCCGGUACUGCAUUGGAAACUGUCGAACUAGAGUGUCGGAGGGGUAAGCGGAAUUCCUAGUGUAGCGGUGAAAUGCGUAGAUAUUAGGAGGAACACCAGUGGCGAAGGCGGCUUACUGGACGAUAACUGACGCUGAGGCUCGAAAGCGUGGGGAGCAAACAGGAUUAGAUACCCUG
Molecule: ribosomal RNA, 320 nt
Filed under: uncultured bacterium
Lineage: Bacteria
Description: bacterial SSU rRNA
Rfam family: Bacterial small subunit ribosomal RNA
Source: RNAcentral